This 253-nucleotide ribosomal RNA is filed under the name uncultured bacterium. RNAcentral's name for it is "partial 16S ribosomal RNA". It matches the Rfam family "Bacterial small subunit ribosomal RNA", at positions 524 to 776 of the family's 1533-position model. The record is from RNAcentral.
UACGUAGGGUGCAAGCGUUAAUCGGAAUUACUGGGCGUAAAGCGUGCGCAGGCGGCUUUGCAAGACAGCUGUGAAAUCCCCGGGCUUAACCUGGGAACUGCAUUUGUGACUGCAUGGCUAGAGUGCGGCAGAGGGGGAUGGAAUUCCGCGUGUAGCAGUGAAAUGCGUAGAUAUGCGGAGGAACACCGAUGGCGAAGGCAAUCCCCUGGGCCUGCACUGACGCUCAUGCACGAAAGCGUGGGGAGCAAACAGG